Molecule: ribosomal RNA, 253 nt
Filed under: Clostridium estertheticum
Lineage: Bacteria; Bacillati; Bacillota; Clostridia; Eubacteriales; Clostridiaceae
Also listed under: 6 other names
Description: partial 16S ribosomal RNA
Rfam family: Bacterial small subunit ribosomal RNA
Source: RNAcentral
UACGUAGGUGGCAAGCGUUGUCCGGAUUUACUGGGCGUAAAGGAUGCGUAGGCGGACAUUUAAGUCAGAUGUGAAAUACCCGAGCUUAACUUGGGUGCUGCAUUUGAAACUGGGUGUCUAGAGUGCAGGAGAGGUAAGUGGAAUUCCUAGUGUAGCGGUGAAAUGCGUAGAGAUUAGGAAGAACACCAGUGGCGAAGGCGACUUACUGGACUGUAACUGACGCUGAGGCAUGAAAGCGUGGGGAGCAAACAGG